UGUAUACAACAAAACAAAGCAAAUUCACACACCAAAAACACAAGACAUAACAUUACGUACUCAUAAUGAAUUAAUUUCUUAUUUUAUUAAAACACAGUUUCAAUUUCACUGCAAUUGAUUAUUGUUGCAAAAGCACUCAUAAAAGAUAAACGAAAUAACUGAUUAUCAAAAUCAUUUGCAUCCCCCCGGGGGACAGUAGUAGAUAUAGUCUGCAAGAGCUUUCUUUAACUUCUCGAUCAAACACUCUUCCCUUGUAAGCCCUGAGCAAUCAACAAUUUCAGGUGAUGCUGCGGGAUUAUUAGAAAAUAAAGCAUUUGGGUGAUAUCCUUGGCUAAAACGACUGGCUGUAAUAAGUGUGCUUUCAGUGUUUGCCACUACAAGUAAAGCCAAGAUGAUGAAACUAAGACUCUUCGACAUUUUCUAUUUAUUAAGUGAAUUGUAUGCAACUUAAUAAGAAUUAAAGAAGAUGUGUGAAAUUCAGAAAGUCAUGAGCCUCUAUUUAUAUGAAUGAAUAUUGAGAAUCUCGCUACAAUGACUUUAAUGGAAUUGAAAGAUUCCAUAAAUAAGAAAAAUAAAACAUGCUGCGUUUGUUUGCAUUAACUGUUGAUUUUAAUAUCGUGUCGCAUUAUGAAGGCAAUUUCAGUAUACAUUUAAUUAAUGUUAUCGUUUUUAGUGUGAUUAUUUUGUUUAGUUUAUUAUUAGAUUUUUUUUCUCUUUAUAUCAAUUGUGAAGCUAUUUUCUAAUAUAAAGACCCUCUCAAAGUCUACAUUGCCCUUCAUUUGGUUUCAUUGGGUGAUUCGUGCAUAAGAUUAUCUUAUUAAAUUGCAAGGAAAUUAUUAAAGAAAACAAAAAUCAAUUAUUUACACUUGGUCAAGUUGGCUUGUAUGAACGAGGAGGUUGAGAUAAUGAUAGAUCAGCCCUCAUGAUCCAUUAGUAAGAUUAAUUCAACAACUCUAAAUAGAUCAACAAUGUUCCUUACCGUUUAUAGGAUUUGAUUUUAUCAUUCCAUUAGAUUGAUUCAAUUUUUUUCCCUAUUGUAUCAAAUGACUAAUAGAGUCGACUAAAAAACAAAAAAGGCUUGCACAUAUUGGGCAAUCAAAAGUCUAUACAUAUAGCUAAAAAAAUUGAAAACUUGUUGUUGUGCAAAUUUUAAUGAACUGGCAAGCGCACGAAUCUAUUGUAGUAUAGAUCAAUGGUGACGAGUGUCGAUCCCACGAGGAGGUGGAUUUUAAUUGUAUGUAGAAUUAAUUUUGUAAAUGGGUGGUUAGAAUUGUGGUGGAAGUGAUUUAAAAUAUGCUAAAAUUGGAAUUGAAAUGACGAUAAUAAAUAUGCUAAAAUUGGAAUUGCAAUGGCGAGAAUAAAUUGUAGAGAAAAUCGAUUAAAUUGACGUACUUGGGUAUCUGGAUCCGUAUCAACAUGCAUCAUGGGCUAAAUAAUCCAUAUUAAUGCCAAUUAAAUCAUGAGGGGAGAAUCCACACCUCAUGAACCACGCUCUAAUCAAUAUGGUGCUAAGGGCUUAUCGUGCCAAAUAAUAAUAACCUUAUACUAGAGAGCCGGUGUAACCAAGGCGGUAUCUAGACAAGAUCAGUAUUAUUUGUCGACGAUAAGUCAAAUCAUCCACAAAAACUAGAGGGGAAAAGAAAAUAAAUUUACCAAAUUAAGCCCAUGACACAUGUUGAGACUUCACCUUCAACCCAAGCUUGAAAGAAAAUUAGCCACUCAUAAUUGAACUAGGGGCAAAAAGGGAAUUUAUUAAAAUACAAAGAAAAUACAAGAUGGAGAAGGAAUUACAGAAAAUGGAUCCCAAAAAUGGAUUCAAAGAUAUCAAAUUUGGGGGGGGAGGCCCCCUUUUUAUAUAUACAUGGAGUAAAUCAUGGCCAUCGGAUUAAAAACAGUUUGGACACUCAGGAUUGCGCCACGUCAUCAGUCAACAGUCCACGGUUUGACCACGUGGAUGAACAGUAACACGGUUUGACCCGGAUGAACAGUAAUGUGGUUUGGUUGAAAAUAAUCCUGUGUGAUGCAUGCACCGUACGUGAGAUUUUUCGUCCACUGAUAUGCUGCCACGUCACCAUCAACAGUACAUAAGAAUUUUAGUCCAACAGGAUCGUGACACCUCAUCAGUCAAUGCCACAUCAUCGGUCAAUGCCACAUCAUCGAUCCGUCUAUGUGAAUAGUGUCAUGAACAGUAACGUAGACAGUACCGUAUACGUGAAUAGUACCGUACAUGUGAAUAGUGCUAUUUUUCCUUUUAUGCUCCUCCUAAGGUUUUCGACCGUCCUGAGACUUCACCUUCAACCCAAGCUUGAAAGAAAAUUAGCCACUCAUAAUUGAACUAGGGGCAAAAAGGGAAUUUAUUAAAAUACAAAGAAAAUACAAGAUGGAGAAGGAAUUACAGAAAAUGGAUCCCAAAAAUGGAUUUAAAGAUAUCAAAUUUGGGGGGGGAGGCCCCUUUUUUAUAUAUACAUGGAGUAAAUCAUGGCCAUCGGAUUAAAAACAGUUUGGACACUCAGGAUUGCGCCACGUCAUCAGUCAACAGUCCACGGUUUGACCACGCGGAUGAACAGUAACACGGUUUGACCCGGAUGAACAGUAAUGUGGUUUGGUUGAAAAUAAUCCUGUGUGAUGCAUGCACCGUACGUGAGAUUUUUCGUCCACUGAUAUGCUGCCAUGUCACCAUCAACAGUACAUAAGAAUUUUAGUCCAACAGGAUCGUGACACCUCAUCAGUCAAUGCCACAUCAUCGGUUAAUGCCACAUCAUCGAUCUGUCUAUGUGAAUAGUGUCAUGAACAGUAACGUAGACAGUACCGUAUACGUGAAUAGUAUCGUACAUGUGAAUAGUGCUAUUUUUCCUUUUAUGCUCCUCCUAAGGUUUUCGACCGUCCUGAGUUCAAAAGUGAUGUCCGUUUUGCCAUCUGAUCUCUCAUUUAUUGUGAAAUGACUAUAAUGCCCCUAAAAUACAUAAAAUACUUAAUUAAAAUAAAACACAUGUAAUUAAAUCACAAGAAGGUUAAAUACAUAAAAGUAAGGGUUGUUAAUAAGACUUGAAAUGUAAAAUGACAGUUUUCUCCUUUAUAAAUAUGCAUUUUCUAACACUCAACACACCCCCCAACCAGCUUAUUGCUAGUCCCUAGCAAAUAAAGCGAAAACAAAAUUCAAAUUCAAAAUGAUUUUUUUUUUUUUUUAGAAACACUCGUGUUUAUUCAAUCAGAUUAAUGAUAGCAAUCAAAUAAAAGUAUAAGCAUUAUCUCCAGUCUAAAGCAACAUCACACCCACAUCAACCAUCCACAUGAAUCGGCCCAGUAGACUUUGUUAUAGCUACUUUCAAGAAUGACAUGUCAAACCCCAAAAUCUCACUGGAAGUAGUGACACUCUCACAAAGAAAUUAAACCCAAAAAAUAGUCACUCCAAUGAAUGGUAAUUGAGAGAAAAUAAUGAAAAAGUGAUAUCACAUGCUCUCACCAAGAUGAAAUAAAUAUGCCCUCAGCUUAGAAAUAAUACAAUCUCAAGUCAAAUAAAAAAAAUGUUAGUCAACCCAAUUUAUUUAUUUAUUUAUUUUUUUAUAUGCACCACUACAUCUGUUUAGCCCAUAUAACUAGCUUCUACUUCAAACUAUAGUUCCCUAAAAUCAAGAAGGAUUUUUAUUAAGACGUAACGUAGGUUAGGGACAUGGCUAACAAAUAAGGGAAAUAAGGAAAACAAAAUGUAUGUCUGAGACAAAUGCAGAAAAUUUUUUUUUUUUUUUUUUAGGAAGUUGCAAGGUGGAUUUCACCUAUGAUUGUUAUUUUUAUUCUUUUGAAACAAUAACUUUUGUUUUGUUUUUUUUCUGUUUGUUUUUUUUUUUUUUUUGCUUUUAUUUGGCAUAACUUCACUGAACAACAUAAUUAUUUACAUUUUCUCAAACAUAAAUAGGUGAUAGAACUUAUAAGACAUCGGGUAAUACUCCAAAUCGGAGUGGGCAAGAGGAUAAGUUGACAAAGAAAAGGUUUUUUUUUUUUUUUUAAAAAAAAAAAAGGCUCAAAAGGGGUAACUAUGGAUAUUUAAUAAAAGGGAUGGCUAGAAAGGCUCAAACGGAUCAAAGAUGGCCUUUCCAUCAUCUUUUAGGGCUCUAAAUAAUUAUCCAUAUCUACUGGUUAGAUGGGCCUCCUAAUGUAGCAACACACAUUUUUUUCUUUUUUUAAUUUUACCAUAUUUUUUUUAAAGGGUUAACUUAAAAGAAAUCUAGAGAUCGUGUAUAAAAUAAUAAACUGCUAAGCUGUAUAGAGAAUGGGCAAAAGGGUUACUCUCCAAGAAAAUGAUAGGCUCAACAACUCACUUGACACUUAUUUAUGACAUGUUCAUUCCUUCAAGCAACUCAUAUUUGUCUCCGACAUCAACAUGUAAAAUAGCAAACAUAGCGUAACAUCACUUAAGACCAAAGAUAAUACAAAUACUAAAAUUUGAAAUUAAUCAUGUCAUCCAAUGUUAAAAUAAAUAACACAAUUUUUUUUUUAAACAACAUUCUACCCCCCAACCUAUUCUAAACAUGAAAGGAAAAUAUGCAUGCAGAAAUGUGAAAAUGAUGUAGAAAAAAUUAAUUAGAAAAAGAAAUUUUUUUUUUUUUUUAACUAAGAAGAUGCGUUUCUAGAGGCACUACACUCCAUAUUCAGCCAUCUUCGACUCAAAAAUUUGAAAAUAUAUAUUUAUAAAGGAGAAAGAGGAAGAAAACAAUUUUUUUUAUUUUUUUUUUGUUUUUUAAACGAUGAAGAUGCGUUUCUAGAGUAACUACACUCCAUAUUCAGCCAUCUUCAACACAAAAUGUUAGCAACAGUUAGUUUCUAUAACAAAAAAUCAGUAAAAACUUAACCAAGAUUCCACAAUUGUCGACUAUUCCCUCCCCCCAACCAGAACGAAACAUUGUCCUCAAUGUUUUAAAGGAAAGAAGUAGAGUUUAGAAGACAUCACCUGGGUGGUGCAACACAGAAGAAAAUAUUUACAGGCGGAGAGUUAAAUCUAAUUUGUACUUCUUACUGCGGCUACUGUUACCAUCAUUAUUUGGUCGCUCCAACACAAAGGUCCAGGGGUCUGGCUCCGGUUUAUAAGCUUGUAACAUAUCAAGUAGCUCAUUAGCAGUGUGAGCACAAAUAAAGAGUUUUUUCACAUUAGAAGGAAUGAAAUAGUUUUUUAUUGCAUGGUUAAGAAAUGCGAUAAAGGCAUCAUAAAAGUUAUUGACAUUUAACAAACCGAUGGGUUUCUGGUGGAUGUGCAGAUGGGCCCAAGAUGCUAGUGUGAUAAGUGCCUCUAGUGUUGCAAGAUCUCCUGGAAGGAAAAUAAAAGCAUCAGCAUGAUUAAGCAUUUCAGUUAUUCUUUCUUGCAUACCUGAGACGACUAACUCUUCUCCAGUUAAUGAGUCAGACAAACUGCCCAAUGGUUUUAGGACUCUUGGGAUGAUGCCUAACACUUGACUUCCUCUGAUAAAAGCUGCUUCUGAGACCAUUUUUUAUAACCCUCGGUUACCUCCUCCAUACACCAAGUGUAAUUUUCUCGCUGCUAUGCUUCGACCAAGAUCUAUGGCUGCCUCCACGAACUCUUUAUGUUUGCCAUAGGUAAAUCCAGAAAGCACACAAAUGUUCUUGAAUUAUCUAUUGGGAGUAGCUGCCAUUGUGAUACUUCUCAAAAACAAUUUGUGAGUGCUUGACAAAAGAUAAAUCACAUUUAAGAAUCUUGGUGACAGUGGAUCACAGCUGUGAAUGAGGUAACAUGUCAGUGUCAAAUAACGCAUAAAGCACGUGGCUCGCGAGUAAAAAAGGAAACAGUAAUAAAAUUAUUAAAGAAAAUAAUGUAAACAAUAAAACAACAGUGAAAUGAAAUAAAAUAACAGUAAAGUAAAAGGAUAUUUACACAUAGUUGCGACUGUGGCUCACAUCUUCCUCUGGUUUUACGUCCAGAAACGGCUUGAACGCCCUCUAUGGGUCGAGGAUCGGCUUCCCAUCCAGUUUUCUUAUAAACUGACAAACAGGGUCGUUUAUAGUCAGAUUCCCGAGACUAUAUCGUGCAUGCUCUUUCUGGAAUAAUGGCCAUAACCGGAGAAUCGCUCCUUGCACAUAUCCACUGGGAUGCGUUUCAAGAGACAAAAGGAUAUCAUCCAAUGACUCCUUAUUCAAGCCAUCCCUAAUGAAUUGAAUCUUAUCUUCCCUGUUAUCAGACACCAUUCCUAAAGAACAUGGGUUUUUAUCACAACUCAUUCUGGCACACUUAUGACAAGCAACAGAAAUUCUUCGAGCUCGUCGUUUUCUUGCAUAAUUUCCUUUACCACAACCAGGCAUGAAUGCAAUAAAUUUUGGAGGUAACUCACCUGCCGAUCGUACUUUAGCCUCGAUUAACCAACGGAUGUCAGCAGGUAUGUUAUUCUUCAUGAGUAAUCGCAUGCGUUCGGACCGAGCUUUAUAGAUCGUAAGGAGGGCAUUCUGAGGAAGUGAAGGGAGUCGCUUGUGAAGCUUCGCUAGAAUCUCGUUUCUGUCCAUACUUUCGCCUCAGAAUGUCAGUUAUUGUGGGAAACUGAAGUAACCGACUUGAUUGUCACGGAGUACCGUAAUCCGCCAUUUCACCGGGGGUAACAAACUAAAGCACACAAACAGAAAAACAAAUUAAAACACAUAAAGAAAAUUAAAAUCGUCCUCUUAUUGAAUUUACCUCAAGCUCCAACUGGAUGUCGUAAACACUUCUCUCAAUAUCUCGGAGUUGGCUUUCUAGAUUCUCAACAUAGGCUACUAACUCUGGUGGUUGUAGAGCCCAAAUGCGAUGUGUUUUACAAAAUUGAAUCUGCCUUUUGAGAUGAGUUUUGACACGUUGAAGUGGUUUAAGAAUGUUCAGGAGGAACGGUCUAAGUAAGGUACUCAUGAUUAAAAAUGAUAAGAGAAAACUUAAUAGUUAGACAAACACAGUUAUGCAAAAAUAAUGUCAAUUAGCAAAAGAAUAAUAAAAAGAAAGAAAGAAAAAUCAAAUCAACGAAAAGAAAAAACAAAUCAAUUCAAAUCUGGUGGGUCACUCAAAUUUAUUUCGGUGUCUUCUCCAUGUGGUUGGUAUUCUAGAUAUGGCUUUAAUCUUUGACCAUUAACUUUAAACGUGACACCAUUCUUUGGGUCCUUAAUUUCAAUUGCCCCAUGUGGAAAAACAGUAUGAAUAAUAAAAGGACCAGACCAUCGAGAGCGUAACUUACCUGGGAAUAGGUGCAAGCGAGAAUUGAAUAAAAGCACUUUCUGACCUGGAGUGAAAGAUUUUCUCAUAAUGUGCUUGUCAUGAAAGACUUUCAUCCGUUGCCUGUAAAUUUUGGCAUUUUCGUAUGCAUCAUUGCGAAUUUCUUCAAGUUCUGCCAGUUGUAAUCUUCUUUCUGAGCUGGCUUGCUGCAUGUCAAAGUUGAAUUUCUUGAUGGCCCAAUAUGCACGAUGCUCGAGUUCCACAAGUAGGUGGAAAGCUUUUCCAUACACUAGCCUGUAGGGUGACAUCCCAAUCGGGGUCUUGAAAGCCGUUCUAUAUGCCCAUAAUGCAUCAUCAAGUCUUAAUGACCAAUCUUUUCUGUCUGGCCUCACUGUUUUUUCUAAUAUGUGCUUUAUUUCUCGAUUGGAGAUCUUAACUUGGCCACUGGUUUGCAGAUGAUACGGGGUCGCCACUUUGUGUGUGAUUGAAUACUUUGUCAAAAGAGCCUUGAAUGCUUUGUUACAAAAGUGGGCACCACCAUCACUGAUUAUCGCUCGAGGGAAUCCAAAGCGUGAAACAAUGUUGCUUUUCAAAAAUCCUAUCACCACUUUGUGAUCAUUGGUUCUGCAUGGAAUUGCUUCCACCCAUUUCGAUACGUAGUCAACACCAACCAAUAUGUAUUGAUGGCCAAAAGAAGAGGGAAAGGGUCCCAUGAAGUCGAUACCCCAUACGUCAAAAAUCUCAACCACUAAAAUUGGAUUUAGUGGCAUCAUGUUUCUUCGUGUAAUGCUCCCCAUUCGUUGACACCUAUCACAUGAAGAACAGAAAGUGUAAGCAUCUCGAAAUAUAGUUGGCCAAUAAAAACCACAUUGUAAAACUUUAGUCGCCGUUUUCUUAGCACUGAAAUGACCUCCACAAGCUUGUUCAUGGCAGAAUGAAAGAAUAUUCUGAAUUUCAUUUUCAGGGACACAUCGUCUAACAAUUUGGUCUACACAAUACUUGAACAAAUAUGGGUCAUCCCAAAAGAAAUUCUUUAUUUCCGCAAAGAAUUUAGCCUUGUCUUGCUUGGUCCAAUGCUCUGGAAGUUUACCUGUAACAAGAUAAUUAACUAUAUCAGCAUACCAAGGUAAUACUUCCACAUUCAUUAAUUGUUCAUCUGGAAAUGACUCAUUCAAUGGUAAUGGUUCUGUAAUUGUGUCAAAGUGGAGACGAGAGAGAUAGUCCGCUACAACAUUUUCUGUCCCUUUCUUAUCUUUGAAUUCCAAGUCAAAUUCCUGCAAAAGUAACACCCAACGAAUUAGUCUAGCUUUUGCAUCUUUCUUUGUGAGAAGAUAUUUAAGAGCAGCAUGAUCUGUGAAUAUAAUUAUUUUACAACCAAUGAGAUAAGAUCGAAAUUUCUCUAAUGCAAACACUACUGCUAGCAUUUCUUUUUCAGUAGUUGAAUAGUUCAACUGUGCAUCAUUCAAUGUCAUACUAGCAUAGUAAAUAACAUGGGGAAUUCGAUCAACACUUUGUCCUAAUACUGCUCUUACUGCAUAAUCAGAUGCAUCACACAUGAGCUCAAAUGGUAAGCUCCAGUUUGGGGCCUGAAUGAUGGGUGAUGAUGUCAACAACUGCUUUAAUUUUUCAAAUGCCACAAGACAUGAAUCAUUAAAGAUAAAAGGUACAUCCUUAGUAAGUAAAUUACAUAAGGGUCUAGAAACUUUGCUAAAAUCUUUAAUGAAACGUCUAUAGAAACCAGCAUGCCCAAGGAAAGAUCUUACUUCUCUGAUUGUUUUGGGUGGAGGAAGAUUAGAAAUGAGAUCCACCUUGGCUUUGUCAACCUCAAUACCUUUGCUUGAAAUGAUGUGACCGAGAACAAUACCUUGUUUUACCAUAAAAUGGCACUUCUCCUAAUUUAAUAUUAAGUUCUUCUCGAUACAUCUCUGCAGAACUAGCGUUAGAUGAUGUAAACAUUGAUCAAACGAGUCACCAAAGACAGAAAAAUCAUCCAUAAAGACUUCAAGUAAUCGUUCAACCAUAUCAGAAAAAAUGCUCAACAUGCAUCGUUGGAAUGUAGCAGGUGCAUUACAUAAUCCAAAUGGCAUUCUCCUAUAUGCAAAAGUGCCAAAAGGGCAAGUGAAAGUAGUUUUCUCCUGAUCUUUUGGUGCUAUGGGAAUCUGAUUAUAUCCUGAGUAGCCAUCUAGAAAGCAAUAAAAUUCGUGGCCUGCUAAUCUAUCAAGCAUUUGAUCGAUAAAUGGUAAAGGAAAAUGGUCUUUACGUGUGACAGAAUUCAACUUUCUAUAAUCAAUGCAUACACGCCAUCCUGUAGUUACUCUAGUUGGUAUCAAUUCAUUAUCAGCAUUGGUAACUACUGUGACUCCUGACUUUUUGGGGACGACUUGUACAGGACUGACCCAUGAACUAUCAGAAAUUGGGUAAAUGAUACAUGCGUCUAAUAGCUUAAGGACUUCUGUUCUAACAACUUCUUUCAUAUUAGGAUUUAACCGACGUUGCAUUUCCCUAGUAGAUUUAGCAUUUUCAUCAAGGUGAAUGUAAUGCAUGCAGUCUACUGGAUUUAUACCUUUUAUGUCCGCUAUGGUCCAUCCUAAUGCUCCUUUGUGCUCUUUUAAUACAUCCAACAACUUACCUUUUUGUUCGUCAUUUAGGAAUGAUGAGAUGAUUACCGGCAGAGUACUUUCUUCUCCCAAAAAUGCAUAUUCCAAUGUGUUGGGCAAUGGUUUGAGCUCGAGUUUCGGUGGUGAUUCUGAUGAUGGGAUGAGUUUCUUUUCUGAUGGUGCUAGUUGUUCUACUCUUGACUUCCAUUUAUUAGUGUCCAUGGAUGGUGCUGAGUCAAGUAGGGCGUUGACCUCUUCGACCGAUCUGUCAAUAUCAAAAUCCAAACUAAAGUGAGUUAAACAUGUUUGUAAAGGAUCAUCACUAAGGUUUGAAAGAAAUGUAUUAUCAACUAUUGUUUCUAUUAAAUCCACAUCAACAAUUCCAUCAUCUGCACUGUGAGGUUGUUUGGCAAUGUUGAAAAUGUUUAGCUCCAUAGUCAUGUUGCCGAAGGACAAUUGCAUAUUUCCGGUCCUACAUUGAAUAUGAGCAUCUGCAGUUGCCAAGAAAGGUCGGCCUAGAAUAAUGGGGAUGUGCUUCCUUGAGUCCUGUAUUGGUUGAGUGUCAAUUACAAUGAAAUCAACAGGAAAAUAAAACUUGUCCACCUGGAUAAGCACGUCCUCCACAAUACCACGAGGUAUUUUCGUGGACCGAUCUGCAAGCUGUAACACCACUGGAGUUGGGUGUAAUUCUCCAAGUCCAAGUUUCACGAAUACAGAGUAAGGCAAAAGAUUUACACUAGCUCCUAAAUCCAAUAAAGCAUUCUCAAUUGUGUGGUUCCCUAUACUACAUGAGAUAGUGGGGGAGCCUGGGUCUUUGCAUUUUAAAGGAAUUUUAUGUUGGAGUAUAGAACUAACGUUUUCUGUUAAAAAUGCCUUCUUUUGAACAUGCAUGUUUCUCUUUUUAGUACAAAGGUCUUUAAGAAACUUGGCAUAAGAUGGAACUUGUUUAAUAGCAUCAAGCAAAGGGAUGUUAACACUUACCUGUUUGAAGAUUUCAAGAAUCUCACCUGUGGAUUUUCCCUUUUUUCCUUUCGCUAACCUCUGAGGAAAUGGAGCUUUCAGAACGUAUUCUCGUGGGUUGGUUUCUUCUUUUUCCUCCGGUGGUGAGUCCUCAACAUUCACAGGUACAAUUUGAUUUUCUUUUGUCACCGGUAUCUCCACUUUAUUGUCGACUUCUUUUCCUUUUCGCAAGGUCAUGACUGCUUUGACCUCUCCAUGCUGCUGUGGUGAACUGGUACUUGCUUCAUGUACUCCUUUAGGAUUAGGCACUGGUUGACUUGGAAACUUGCCUUUCUCAACAGUAAUUGCCAAGGUCUGAACUGAAGAAGCGAGUUGUCCCACCAUCUUCUCGAGGCUUGAAACUGAUUGGGCUUGUGAGUUGAAGCCCGCUCUCAACUCAUUUCGUAGUCCAUCAAUGGUGCGGUUCUGUUGCUCAAUCGUGGAGUGAGUAACAUUCUUGAAAUUCUAGAAUGCAUCCUCCCAUGGUCUGGGUUGAGAGUAGUUCUGGUUCUGAUUGUAUGGUCUGAAUGGUGGCUGAGAGGCUUGAGGAUUUUGAGGAAUUUGUUGCAUUGGAGGAGCUGGAGCUGCUGGUCCAUUCUGUUGGAAUCCUUGAGACCAUGAAAAAUUGGGGUGGUCUCUCCAUCCAGGGUUAUAUAUGUUGGAGUAUGGGUUGUAAUUCGAUGGUUUUCUCAUUACACCUAUGGCAUUGGCUUGAUCGGAGUAUGAGUCAUGGUCAUGUGGUUCUGUUGAUUUAGCAGUCGAUAACGAUGCUAUUUGUCGAGCAAGACCUUCAACCAUCUCCUUGACUUCUUUGAUUCCCGAAGUUGACUCGCCAAUGUGAACCUCAUUCACUCCUUUAAUCCUUCUAGUAUUCCUGAGUGAUCGACUCCGUUAUUGGGAAUUGUCCGCUUGUCGCUGGAAAAACUCCCAAAUUUCUGAUGCACUUUUUGACAUUAGCUCUCCUCCACUUGUUGCCAUUAGCCAUUCUUGCACAUUCGGCAAUAAUCCCUCCAAAAAGUAUUGGCAUUGGUGCCAUUUUUCGUACCCAUGAUGUGGACACUUCAAGAGUAGCCCAUUGAAUCGCUCCCACGUUUCGAAAAAUUGCUCGUCCUCUUUUUGUGUAAACUCUGAAAUUUCCCUGCGAAUAGAAUUGGUUUUAUGCACUGGGAAAUAUUUAUUCAAAAAUUUUGUAACCAUUUGUUCCCAUGAUGCAAUGCUAUUAGCAGGCAAUGUAUUAAGCCAUGAACGAGCUCUAUCCUUUAAAGAAAAUGGGAAUAGUCUAAGUUUAACAUCAUCGUCUGAAAAAUUUUCAUAUUUAAAAGUUUGACAAAUGGCAUGAAAAUCAUUCAGAUGAUUAUAUGGGUCCUCAUUUUCUAGGCCAUAGAAUGUGGGGAGACAAUUUUGCACACUAGGUUUUAAUUCAAAACUCCUAGCAGCUACAUUUGGGUAUCUAAUACAUGAUGUGCUCAAAUUAGCUAAGGGACUAAAAUAGUCCUUAAAUGGCCUCUCCUGUGGUGCUUGUAAAUCCAUUCCAAAUUUAUUUUUUAAUGUGCUUUUGUGUGCGAAGUGUUUUUUCUAGUUCAAGGUCUAUAGGUUCAAGAUUAGGUAAUAAUGACCUACGACCAUGCAUGCAAAAUAAAUAAAAUAAAAAUAAAGAUGGGAACAAAAACAAAUAAAAAUAAAGAAGAGGGAGAAAUUACGAUACUAACCUUAUUGCGCUAUUACAACCUUUCUAUAAAAAUACACAAAAACAAAUACGUGAAAUAAAUUAACUAAAAAUUAAAUUAAUAAAAUAAACAAAAAUUACAAAGAAAAAAUAAAUUGAAAAUUAAAUUACAGAAUUUUAAAGAAGAGAAAAAGAAAAGAAAUACUAACCUCUAAAUGCGGAUUCACUUUUUUUUUUUAAUAAAAAAUACAAGAAAACAAUUUAAAAUAAAUUAUUCACAAAAAUUAAUUCUAUGAAUUAAAAUUACUUACCUCCCCGGCAACGGCGCCAAAAACUUGUUGUGCAAAUUUUAAUGAACUGGCAAGCGCACGAAUCUAUUGUAGUAUAGAUCAAUGGUGACGAGUGUCGAUCCCACGAGGAGGUGGAUUUUAAUUGUAUGUAGAAUUAAUUUUGUAAAUGGGUGAUUAGAAUUGUGGUGGAAGUGAUUUAAAAUAUGCUAAAAUUGGAAUUGAAAUGACGAUAAUAAAUAUGCUAAAAUUGGAAUUGCAAUGGCGAGAAUAAAUUGUAGAGAAAAUCGAUUAAAUUGACGUACUUGGGUAUCUGGAUCCGUAUCAACAUGCAUCAUGGGCUAAAUAAUCCGUAUUAAUGCCAAUUAAAUCGUGAGGGGAGAAUCCACACCUCAUGAACCACGCUCUAAUCAAUAUGGUGCUAAGGGCUUAUCGUGCCAAAUAAUAAUAACCUUAUACUAGAGAGCCGGUGUAACCAAGGCGGUAUCUAGACAAGAUCAGUAUUAUUUGUCGACGAUAAGUCAAAUCAUCCACAAAAACUAGAGGGGAAAAGAAAAUAAAUUUACCAAAUUAAGCCCAUGACACAUGUUGAGACUUCACCUUCAACCCAAGCUUGAAAGAAAAUUAGCCACUCAUAAUUGAACUAGGGGCAAAAAGGGAAUUUAUUAAAAUACAAAGAAAAUACAAGAUGGAGAAGGAAUUACAGAAAAUGGAUCCCAAAAAUGGAUUCAAAGAUAUCAAAUUUGGGGGGGGAGGCCCCCUUUUUAUAAAUACAUGGAGUAAAUCAUGGCCAUCGGAUUAAAAACAGUUUGGACACUCAGGAUUGCGCCACGUCAUCAGUCAACAGUCCACGGUUUGACCACGCGGACAUGAACAGUAACACGGUUUGACCCGGAAUGAACAGUAAUGUGGUUUGGUUGAAAAUAAUCCUGUGUGAUGCAUGCACUGUACGUGAGAUUUUUCGUCCACUGAUAUGCUGCCACGUCACCAUCAACAGUACAUAAGAAUUUUAGUCCAACAGGAUCGUGACACCUCAUCAGUCAAUGCCACAUCAUCGGUCAAUGCCACAUCAUCGAUCCGUCUAUGUGAAUAGUGUCAUGAACAGUAACGUAGACAGUACCGUAUACGUGAAUAGUACCGUACAUGUGAAUAAUGCUAUUUUUCCUUUUAUGCUCCUCCUAAGGUUUUUCGACCGUCCUGAGUUCAAAAGUGAUGUCCGUUUUGCCAUCUGAUCUCUCCUUUAUUGUGAAAUGACUAUAAUGCCCCUAAAAUACAUAAAAUACUUAAUUAAAAUAAAACACAUGUAAUUAAAUCACAAGAAGGUUAAAUACAUAAAAGUAAGGGUUGUUAAUAAGACUUGAAAUGUAAAAUGACAGUUUUCUCCUUUAUAAAUAUUGCAUUUUUCUAACACUCAACACACCCCCUAACCAGCUUAUUGCUAGUCCCUAGCAAAUAAAGCGAAAACAAAAUUCAAAUUCAAAAUGAUUUUUUUUUUUUUUUUAGAAACACUCGUGUUUAUUCAAUCAGAUUAAUGAUAGCAAUCAAAUAAAAGUAUAAGCAUUAUCUCCAGUCUAAAGCAACAUCACACCCACAUCAACCAUCCACAUGAAUCGGCCCAGUAGACUUUGUUAUAGCUACUUUCAAGAAUGACAUGUCAAACCCCAAAAUCUCACUGGAAAGUAGUGACACUCUCACAAAGAAAUUAAACCCAAAAAAUAGUCACUCCAAUGAAUGGUAAUUGAGAGAAAAUAAUGAAAAAGUGAUAUCACAUGCUCUCACCAAGAUGAAAUAAAUAUGCCCUCAGCCUUAGAAAUAAUACAAUCUCAAGUCAAAUAAAAAAAAUGUUAGUCAACCCAAUUUAUUUUUUUAUAUGCACCACUACAUCUGUUUAGCCCAUAUAACUAGCUUCUACUUCAAACUAUAGUUCCCUAAAAUCAAGAAGGACUUUUAUUAGGACGUAACGUAGGUUAGGGACAUGGCUAACAAAGAAGGGAAAUAAGGAAAACAAAAUGUAUGUCUGAGACAAAUGUAGAAAUUUUUUUUUUUUUUUUUUAGGAAGUUGCAAGGUGGAUUUCACCUAUGAUUGUUAUUUUUAUUCUUUUGAAACAAUAACUUUUGUUUUGUUUUUUUUCUGUUUGUUUUUUUUUUUUUGCUUUUAUUUGGCAUAACUUCACUGAACAACAUAAUUAUUUACAUUUUCUCAAACAUAAAUAGGUGAUAGAACUUAUAAGACAUCGGGUAAUACUCCAAAUCGGAGUGGGCAAGAGGAUAAGUUGACAAAGAAAAGGUUUUUUUUUUUUUUAAAAAAAAAAAAAAGGCUCAAAAGGGGUAACUAUGGAUAUUUAAUAAAAGGGAUGGCUAGAAAGGCUCAAACGGAUCAAAGAUGGCCUUUCCAUCAUCUUUUAGGGCUCUAAAUAAUUAUCCAUAUCUACUGGUUAGAUGGGCCUCCUAAUGUAGCAACACACAUUUUUUUCUUUUUUUAAUUUUACCAUAUUUUUUUUAAAGGGUUAACUUAAAAGAAAUCUAGAGAUCGUGUAUAAAAUAAUAAACUGCUAAGCUGUAUAGAGAAUGGCAAAAGGGUUACUCUCCAAGAAAAUGAUAGGCUCAACAACUCACUUGACACUUAUUUAUGACAUGUUCAUUCCUUCAAGCAACUCAUAUUUGUCUCCGACAUCAACAUGUAAAAUAGCAAACAUAGCGUAACAUCACUUAAGACCAAAGAUAAUACAAAUACUAAAAUUUGAAAUUAAUCAUGUCAUCCAAUGUUAAAAUAAAUAACACAAUUUUUUUUUUUAAACAACAUUCUACCCCCCAACCUAUUCUAAACAUGAAAGGAAAAUAUGCAUGCAGAAAUGUGAAAAUGAUGUAGAAAAAAUUAAUUAGAAAAAGAAAUUUUUUUUUUUUUUAACUAAGAAGAUGCGUUUCUAGAGGCACUACACUCCAUAUUCAGCCAUCUUCGACUCAAAAAUUUGAAAAUAUAUAUUUAUAAAGGAGAAAGAGGAAGAAAACAAUUUUUUUUAUUUUUUUUUUGUUUUUUAAACGAUGAAGAUGCGUUUCUAGAGUAACUACACUCCAUAUUCAGCCAUCUUCAACACAAAAAUGUUAGCAACAGUUAGUUUCUAUAACAAAAAAUCAGUAAAAACUUAACCAAGAUUCCACAAUUGUCGACUAUUCCCUCCCCCCAACCAGAACGAAACAUUGUCCUCAAUGUUUUAAAGGAAAGAAGUAGAGUUUAGAAGACAUCACCUGGGUGGUGCAACACAGAAGAAAAUAUUUACAGGCGGAGAGUUAAAUCUAAUUUGUACUUCUUACUGCGGCUACUGUUACCAUCAUUAUUUGGUCGCUCCAACACAAAGGUCCAGGGGUCUGGCUCCGGUUUAUAAGCUUGUAACAUAUCAAGUAGCUCAUUAGCAGUGUGAGCACAAAUAAAGAGUUUUUUUCACAUUAGAAGGAAUGAAAUAGUUUUUUAUUGCAUGGUUAAGAAAUGCGAUAAAGGCAUCAUAAAAGUUAUUGACAUUUAACAAACCGAUGGGUUUCUGGUGGAUGUGCAGAUGGGCCCAAGAUGCUAGUGUGAUAAGUGCCUCUAGUGUUGCAAGAUCUCCUGGAAGGAAAAUAAAAGCAUCAGCAUGAUUAAGCAUUUCAGUUAUUCUUUCUUGCAUACCUGAGACGACUAACUCUUCUCCAGUUAAUGAGUCAGACAAACUGCCCAAUGGUUUUAGGACUCUUGGGAUGAUGCCUAACACUUGACUUCCUCUGAUAAAAGCUGCUUCUGAGACCAUUUUUUAUAACCCUCGGUUACCUCCUCCAUACACCAAGUGUAAUUUUCUCGCUGCUAUGCUUCGACCAAGAUCUAUGGCUGCCUCCACGAACUCUUUAUGUUUGCCAUAGGUAAAUCCAGAAAGCACACAAAUGUUCUUGAAUUAUCUAUUGGGAGUAGCUGCCAUUGUGAUACUUCUCAAAAACAAUUUGUGAGUGCUUGACAAAAGAUAAAUCACAUUUAAGAAUCUUGGUGACAGUGGAUCACAGCUGUGAAUGAGGUAACAUGUCAGUGUCAAAUAACGCAUAAAGCACGUGGCUCGCGAGUAAAAAAGGAAACAGUAAUAAAAUUAUUAAAGAAAAUAAUGUAAACAAUAAAACAACAGUGAAAUGAAAUAAAAUAACAGUAAAGUAAAAGGAUAUUUACACAUAGUUGCGACUGUGGCUCACAUCUUCCUCUGGUUUUACGUCCAGAAACGGCUUGAACGCCCUCUAUGGGUCGAGGAUCGGCUUCCCAUCCAGUUUUCUUAUAAACUGACAAACAGGGUCGUUUAUAGUCAGAUUCCCGAGACUAUAUCGUGCAUGCUCUUUCUGGAAUAAUGGCCAUAACCGGAGAAUCGCUCCUUGCACAUAUCCACUGGGAUGCGUUUCAAGAGACAAAAGGAUAUCAUCCAAUGACUCCUUAUUCAAGCCAUCCCUAAUGAAUUGAAUCUUAUCUUCCCUGUUAUCAGACACCAUUCCUAAAGAACAUGGGUUUUUAUCACAACUCAUUCUGGCACACUUAUGACAAGCAACAGAAAUUCUUCGAGCUCGUCGUUUUCUUGCAUAAUUUCCUUUACCACAACCAGGCAUGAAUGCAAUAAAUUUUGGAGGUAACUCACCUGCCGAUCGUACUUUAGCCUCGAUUAACCAACGGAUGUCAGCAGGUAUGUUAUUCUUCAUGAGUAAUCGCAUGCGUUCGGACCGAGCUUUAUAGAUCGUAAGGAGGGCAUUCUGAGGAAGUGAAGGGAGUCGCUUGUGAAGCUUCGCUAGAAUCUCGUUUCUGUCCAUACUUUCGCCUCAGAAUGUCAGUUAUUGUGGGAAACUGAAGUAACCGACUUGAUUGUCACGGAGUACCGUAAUCCGCCAUUUCACCGGGGUAACAAACUAAAGCACACAAACAGAAAAACAAAUUAAAACACAUAAAGAAAAUUAAAAUCGUCCUCUUAUUGAAUUUACCUCAAGCUCCAACUGGAUGUCGUAAACACUUCUCUCAAUAUCUCGGAGUUGGCUUUCUAGAUUCUCAACAUAGGCUACUAACUCUGGUGGUUGUAGAGCCCAAAUGCGAUGUGUUUUACAAAAUUGAAUCUGCCUUUUGAGAUGAGUUUUGACACGUUGAAGUGGUUUAAGAAUGUUCAGGAGGAACGGUCUAAGUAAGGUACUCAUGAUUAAAAAUGAUAAGAGAAAACUUAAUAGUUAGACAAACACAGUUAUGCAAAAAUAAUGUCAAUUAGCAAAAGAAUAAUAAAAAGAAAGAAAGAAAAAUCAAAUCAACGAAAAGAAAAAACAAAUCAAUUCAAAUCUGGUGGGUCACUCAAAUUUAUUUCGGUGUCUUCUCCAUGUGGUUGGUAUUCUAGAUAUGGCUUUAAUCUUUGACCAUUAACUUUAAACGUGACACCAUUCUUUGGGUCCUUAAUUUCAAUUGCCCCAUGUGGAAAAACAGUAUGAAUAAUAAAAGGACCAGACCAUCGAGAGCGUAACUUACCUGGGAAUAGGUGCAAGCGAGAAUUGAAUAAAAGCACUUUCUGACCUGGAGUGAAAGAUUUUCUCAUAAUGUGCUUGUCAUGAAAGACUUUCAUCCGUUGCCUGUAAAUUUUGGCAUUUUCGUAUGCAUCAUUGCGAAUUUCUUCAAGUUCUGCCAGUUGUAAUCUUCUUUCUGAGCUGGCUUGCUGCAUGUCAAAGUUGAAUUUCUUGAUGGCCCAAUAUGCACGAUGCUCGAGUUCCACAAGUAGGUGGAAAGCUUUUCCAUACACUAGCCUGUAGGGUGACAUCCCAAUCGGGGUCUUGAAAGCCGUUCUAUAUGCCCAUAAUGCAUCAUCAAGUCUUAAUGACCAAUCUUUUCUGUCUGGCCUCACUGUUUUUUCUAAUAUGUGCUUUAUUUCUCGAUUGGAGAUCUUAACUUGGCCACUGGUUUGCAGAUGAUACGGGGUCGCCACUUUGUGUGUGAUUGAAUACUUUGUCAAAAGAGCCUUGAAUGCUUUGUUACAAAAGUGGGCACCACCAUCACUGAUUAUCGCUCGAGGGAAUCCAAAGCGUGAAACAAUGUUGCUUUUCAAAAAUCCUAUCACCACUUUGUGAUCAUUGGUUCUGCAUGGAAUUGCUUCCACCCAUUUCGAUACGUAGUCAACACCAACCAAUAUGUAUUGAUGGCCAAAAGAAGAGGGAAAGGGUCCCAUGAAGUCGAUACCCCAUACGUCAAAAAUCUCAACCACUAAAAUUGGAUUUAGUGGCAUCAUGUUUCUUCGUGUAAUGCUCCCCAUUCGUUGACACCUAUCACAUGAAGAACAGAAAGUGUAAGCAUCUCGAAAUAUAGUUGGCCAAUAAAAACCACAUUGUAAAACUUUAGUCGCCGUUUUCUUAGCACUGAAAUGACCUCCACAAGCUUGUUCAUGGCAGAAUGAAAGAAUAUUCUGAAUUUCAUUUUCAGGGACACAUCGUCUAACAAUUUGGUCUACACAAUACUUGAACAAAUAUGGGUCAUCCCAAAAGAAAUUCUUUAUUUCCGCAAAGAAUUUAGCCUUGUCUUGCUUGGUCCAAUGCUCUGGAAGUUUACCUGUAACAAGAUAAUUAACUAUAUCAGCAUACCAAGGUAAUACUUCCACAUUCAUUAAUUGUUCAUCUGGAAAUGACUCAUUCAAUGGUAAUGGUUCUGUAAUUGUGUCAAAGUGGAGACGAGAGAGAUAGUCCGCUACAACAUUUUCUGUCCCUUUCUUAUCUUUGAAUUCCAAGUCAAAUUCCUGCAAAAGUAACACCCAACGAAUUAGUCUAGCUUUUGCAUCUUUCUUUGUGAGAAGAUAUUUAAGAGCAGCAUGAUCUGUGAAUAUAAUUAUUUUACAACCAAUGAGAUAAGAUCGAAAUUUCUCUAAUGCAAACACUACUGCUAGCAUUUCUUUUUCAGUAGUUGAAUAGUUCAACUGUGCAUCAUUCAAUGUCAUACUAGCAUAGUAAAUAACAUGGGGAAUUCGAUCAACUCUUUGUCCUAAUACUGGUCUUACUGCAUAAUCAGAUGCAUCACACAUGAGCUCAAAUGGUAAGCUCCAGUUUGGGGCCUGAAUGAUGGGUGAUGAUGUCAACAACUGCUUUAAUUUUUCAAAUGCCACAAGACAUGAAUCAUUAAAGAUAAAAGGUACAUCCUUAGUAAGUAAAUUACAUAAGGGUCUAGAAACUUUGCUAAAAUCUUUAAUGAAACGUCUAUAGAAACCAGCAUGCCCAAGGAAAGAUCUUACUUCUCUGAUUGUUUUGGGUGGAGGAAGAUUAGAAAUGAGAUCCACCUUGGCUUUGUCAACCUCAAUACCUUUGCUUGAAAUGAUGUGACCGAGAACAAUACCUUGUUUUACCAUAAAAUGGCACUUCUCCUAAUUUAAGAUUAAGUUCUUCUCGAUACAUCUCUGCAGAACUAGCGUUAGAUGAUGUAAACAUUGAUCAAACGAGUCACCAAAGAUAGAAAAAUCAUCCAUAAAGACUUCAAGGAAUCGUUCAACCAUAUCAGAAAAAAUGCUCAACAUGCAUCGUUGGAAUGUAGCAGGUGCAUUACAUAAUCCAAAUGGCAUUCUCCUAUAUGCAAAAGUGCCAAAAGGGCAAGUGAAAGUAGUUUUCUCCUGAUCUUUUGGUGCUAUGGGAAUCUGAUUAUAUCCUGAGUAGCCAUCUAGAAAGCAAUAAAAUUCGUGGCCUGCUAAUCUAUCAAGCAUUUGAUCGAUAAAUGGUAAAGGAAAAUGGUCUUUACGUGUGACAGAAUUCAACUUUCUAUAAUCAAUGCAUACACGCCAUCCUGUAGUUACUCUAGUUGGUAUCAAUUCAUUAUCAGCAUUGGUAACUACUGUGACUCCUGACUUUUUGGGGACGACUUGUACAGGACUGACCCAUGAACUAUCAGAAAUUGGGUAAAUGAUACAUGCGUCUAAUAGCUUAAGGACUUCUGUUCUAACAACUUCUUUCAUAUUAGGAUUUAACCGACGUUGCAUUUCCCUAGUAGAUUUAGCAUUUUCAUCAAGGUGAAUGUAAUGCAUGCAGUCUACUGGAUUUAUACCUUUUAUGUCCGCUAUGGUCCAUCCUAAUGCUCCUUUGUGCUCUUUUAACACAUCCAACAACUUACCUUUUUGUUCGUCAUUUAGGGAUGAUGAGAUGAUUACCGGCAGAGUACUUUCUUCUCCCAAAAAUGCAUAUUCCAAUGUGUUGGGCAAUGGUUUGAGCUCGAGUUUCGGUGGUGAUUCUGAUGAUGGGAUGAGUUUCUUUUCUGAUGGUGCUAGUUGUUCUACUCUUGACUUCCAUUUAUUAGUGUCCAUGGAUGGUGCUGAGUCAAGUAGGGCGUUGACCUCUUCGACCGAUCUGUCAAUAUCAAAAUCCAAACUAAAGUGAGUUAAACAUGUUUGUAAAGGAUCAUCACUAAGGUUUGAAAGAAAUGUAUUAUCAACUAUUGUUUCUAUUAAAUCCACAUCAACAAUUCCAUCAUCUGCACUGUGAGGUUGUUUGGCAAUAUUGAAAAUGUUUAGCUCCAUAGUCAUGUUGCCGAAGGACAAUUGCAUAUUUCCGGUCCUACAUUGAAUAUGAGCAUCUGCAGUUGCCAAGAAAGGUCGGCCUAGAAUAAUGGGGAUGUGCUUCCUUGAGUCCUGUAUUGGUUGAGUGUCAAUUACAAUGAAAUCAACAGGAAAAUAAAACUUGUCCACCUGGAUAAGCACGUCCUCCACAAUACCACGAGGUAUUUUCGUGGACCGAUCUGCAAGCUGUAACACCACUGGAGUUGGGUGUAAUUCUCCAAGUCCAAGUUUCACGAAUACAGAGUAAGGCAAAAGAUUUACACUAGCUCCUAAAUCCAACAAAGCAUUCUCAAUUGUGUGGUUCCCUAUACUACAUGAGAUAGUGGGGGAGCCUGGGUCUUUGCAUUUUAAAGGAAUUUUAUGUUGGAGUAUAGAACUAACGUUUUCUGUUAAAAAUGCCUUCUUUUGAACAUGCAUGUUUCUCUUUUUAGUACAAAGGUCUUUAAGAAACUUGGCAUAAGAUGGAACUUGUUUAAUAGCAUCAAGCAAAGGGAUGUUAACACUUACCUGUUUGAAGAUUUCAAGAAUCUCACCUGUGGAUUUUCCCUUUUUUCCUUUCGCUAACCUCUGAGGAAAUGGAGCUUUCAGAACGUAUUCUCGUGGGUUGGUUUCUUCUUUUUCCUCCGGUGGUGAGUCCUCAACAUUCACAGGUACAAUUUGAUUUUCUUUUGUCACCGGUAUCUCCACUUUAUUGUCGACUUCUUUUCCUUUUCGCAAGGUCAUGACUGCUUUGACCUCUCCAUGCUGCUGUGGUGAACUGGUACUUGCUUCAUGUACUCCUUUAGGAUUAGGCACUGGUUGACUUGGAAACUUGCCUUUCUCAACAGUAAUUGCCAAGGUCUGAACUGAAGAAGCGAGUUGUCCCACCAUCUUCUCGAGGCUUGAAACUGAUUGGGCUUGUGAGUUGAAGCCCGCUCUCAACUCAUUUCGUAGUCCAUCAAUGGUGCGGUUCUGUUGCUCAAUCGUGGAGUGAGUAACAUUCUUGAAAUUCUGGAAUGCAUCCUCCCAUGGUCUGGGUUGAGAGUAGUUCUGGUUCUGAUUGUAUGGUCUGAAUGGUGGCUGAGAGGCUUGAGGAUUUUGAGGAAUUUGUUGCAUUGGUGGAGCUGGAGCAGCUGGUCCAUUCUGUUGGAAUCCUUGAGACCAUGAAAAAUUGGGGUGGUCUCUCCAUCCAGGGUUAUAUAUGUUGGAGUAUGGGUUGUAAUUCGAUGGUUUUCUCAUUACACCUAUGGCAUUGGCUUGAUCGGAGUAUGAGUCAUGGUCAUGUGGUUCUGUUGAUUUAGCAGUCGAUAACGAUGCUAUUUGUCGAGCAAGACCUUCAACCAUCUACUUGACUUCUUUGAUUCCCGAAGUUGACUCGCCAAUGUGAACCUCAUUCACUCCUUUAAUCCUUCUAGUAUUCCUGAGUGAUCGACUCCGUUAUUGGGAAUUGUCCGCUUGUCGCUGGAAAAACUCCCAAAUUUCUGAUGCACUUUUUGACAUUAGCUCUCCUCCACUUGUUGCCAUUAGCCAUUCUUGCACAUUCGGCAAUAAUCCCUCCAAAAAGUAUUGGCAUUGGUGCCAUUUUUCGUACCCAUGAUGUGGACACUUCAAGAGUAGCCCAUUGAAUCGCUCCCAUGUUUCGAAAAAUUGCUCGUCCUCUCUUUGUGUAAACUCUGAAAUUUCCCUGCGAAUAGAAUUGGUUUUAUGCACUGGGAAAUAUUUAUUCAAAAAUUUUGUAACCAUUUGUUCCCAUGAUGCAAUGCUAUUAGCAGGCAAUGUAUUAAGCCAUGAACGAGCUCUAUCCUUUAAAGAAAAUGGGAAUAGUCUAAGUUUAACAUCAUCGUCUGAAAAAUUUUCAUAUUUAAAAGUUUGACAAAUGGCAUGAAAAUCAUUCAGAUGAUUAUAUGGGUCCUCAUUUUCUAGGCCAUAGAAUGUGGGGAGACAAUUUAGCACACUAGGUUUUAAUUCAAAACUCCUAGCAGCUACAUUUGGGUAUCUAAUACAUGAUGUACUCAAAUUAGCUAAGGGACUAAAAUAGUCCUUAAAUGGCCUCUCCUGUGGUGCUUGUAAAUCCAUUCCAAAUUUAUUUUUAAUGUGCUUUUGUGUGCGAAGUGUUUUUUCUAGUUCAAGGUCUAUAGGUUCAAGAUUAGGUAAUAAUGACCUACGACCAUGCAUGCAAAAUAAAUAAAAUAAAAAUAAAGAUGGGAACAAAAACAAAUAAAAAUAAAGAAGAGGGAGAAAUUACGAUACUAAUCUUAUUGCGCUAUUAUAACCUUUCUAUAAAAAUACACAAAAACAAAUACGUGAAAUAAAUUAACUAAAAAUUAAAUUAAUAAAAUAAACAAAAAUUACAAAGAAAAAAUAAAUUGAAAAUUAAAUUACAGAAUUUUAAAGAAGAGAAAAAGAAAAGAAAUACUAACCUCUAAAUGCGGAUUCACUUUUUUUUUUUAAUAAAAAAUACAAGAAAACAAUUUAAAAUAAAUUAUUCACAAAAAUUAAUUCUAUGAAUUAAAUUACUUACCUCCCCGGCAACGGCGCCAAAAACUUGUUGUGCAAAUUUUAAUGAACUCGCAAGCGCACGAAUCUAUUGUAGUAUAGAUCAAUGGUGACGAGUGUCGAUCCCACGAGGAGGUGGAUUUUAAUUGUAUGUAGAAUUAAUUUUGUAAAUGGGUGGUUAGAAUUGUGGUGGAAGUGAUUUAAAAUAUGCUAAAAUUGGAAUUGAAAUGACGAUAAUAAAUAUGCUAAAAUUGGAAUUGCAAUGGCGAGAAUAAAUUGUAGAGAAAAUCGAUUAAAUUGACGUACUUGGGUAUCUGGAUCCGUAUCAACAUGCAUCAUGGGCUAAAUAAUCCGUAUUAAUGCCAAUUAAAUCAUGAGGGGAGAAUCCACACCUCAUGAACCACGCUCUAAUCAAUAUGGUGCUAAGGGCUUAUCGUGCCAAAUAAUAAUAACCUUAUACUAGAGAGCCGGUGUAACCAAGGCGGUAUCUAGACAAGAUCAGUAUUAUUUGUCGACGAUAAGUCAAAUCAUCCACAAAAACUAGAGGGGAAAAGAAAAUAAAUUUACCAAAUUAAGCCCAUGACACAUGUUGAGACUUCACCUUCAACCCAAGCUUGAAAGAAAAUUAGCCACUCAUAAUUGAACUAGGGGCAAAAAGGGAAUUUAUUAAAAUACAAAGAAAAUACAAGAUGGAGAAGGAAUUACAGAAAAUGGAUCCCAAAAAUGGAUUCAAAGAUAUCAAAUUUGGGGGGGGAGGCCCCCUUUUUAUAGAUACAUGGAGUAAAUCAUGGCCAUCGGAUUAAAAACAGUUUGGACACUCAGGAUUGCACCACGUCAUCAGUCAACAGUCCACGGUUUGACCACGCGGAUGAACAGUAACACGGUUUGACCUGGAUGAACAGUAACGUGGUUUGGUUGAAAAUAAUCCUGUGUGAUGCAUGCACCGUACGUGAGAUUUUUCGUCCACUGAUAUGCUACCACAUCACCAUCAACAGUACAUAAGAAUUUUAGUCCAACAGGAUCGUGACACCUCAUCAGUCAAUGCCACAUCAUCGAUCAAUGCCACGUCAUCGAUCCGUCUAUGUGAAUAGUGUCAUGAACAGUAACGUAGACAGUACCGUAUACGUGAAUAGUACCGUACAUGUAAAUAGUGCCAUUUUUCCUUUUAUGCUCCUCCUAAGGUUUUCGACCGUCCUGAGUUCAAAAGUGAUGUCUGUUUUGCCAUCUGAUCUCUCCUUUAUUGUGAAAUGACUAUAAUACCCCUAAAAUACAUAAAAUACUUAAUUAAAAUAAAACACAUGUAAUUAAAUCACAAGAAGGUUAAAUACAUAAAAGUAAGGGUUGUUAAUAAGACUUGAAAUGUAAAAUGACGGUUUUCUCCUUUAUAAAUAUGCAUUUUCUAACACUCAACACUUGUAGUGAAUGGUGGUGGUGGUAGUUGAGCAUUUCAACUAACAAAUUAUCGCAACAUACGUGUUCAUCUGCCUUCAUAACUCUAUGUACUCCUGUGUUUUCCAUUAGCUAAAUGUUUAUAUUCAAAUUAACCUUAAACUUUUUCCUGUAGUUUAUAUAACCCUCAUUUGCAAACUCAUCAAGUUUGUCACCAUAAGUAAUUGUGCUAUCAAAUGCUCAUCACGAGGCUAUACACUUUUCUACUGAAGCUAAUGGCCUUUGGGGCAACCUUCUCUGCUACAAUUGUCGUGGCUACAAGCCAUGAGGCAACUACCUUCUUUGCAGUGUCAUCAUUUUAAGCUAAGUACAGUGCCAUGCUGCCAUUUAAGUGGGUUAUAUAAUUAAAUUCAAUGUCAUGCAUGCUUUAUAAAUUAUGAUCAGGUUUUUUAACUUGCGUUUUUUAAUAGCAAAUGAAGUUGUAAGCAUCUACCGCUUUAUGGUUCUGUUUAUUCUUUUCAGAUAGUCUGAUUUGGCAAUUAGUUAAUCCUUUGCAUGUGGUAAGAGCCUAUUGCCCAUCUUACAAGGGUGGCUUUAAACAUAGGUGACCCAGGUUGCUGUCUAGGGCCCCAUAUGUUAGAAUAGCCCAAUUGUGGUUGUCUCGUCUCUAUAUGUUAAGAAGAAUUUUGUUUUAGUAUUUUCUUGAUAUGGUCAAAUUAAUAGAUAUCUUAGAUUAUACUUACAAUAAGAAAGCUUAUUUUUCAGGCCACUUUUUUAUUAAUAAUUAUCCUAUUAUUAAGAUUUUUUACACAAAUUCAAUAUUUGAUAGCAUUAUUGCUAAAGAGCUAUAGUUAAUAAUGUUUUUCGCUAUUAGUUAUUUCAAGAAAAACCAUAACAUUUUUGUGAGUUUAAAAAAAUUAUUAUUUAACAUAUAAAAUUCCUUGCGCCUUUCUCUAUAAGGAAAAUUGUUAUGUUUAUUUGCUCAUUUUUAAGUAAAAUAAAAUAUUUUCUUCAAAUAAUAAUUUUGAAACAAGUAAAAACAAAAAUAUUUUCUUGGCUAUUUUUCUUUUUGAAAUUUCUUACUGCCUUGUUGAUUAUUAGUACUCAAGUUGUCAAAAAUUGAUUGCAUUUUAAGAUAUUUUAUGUUUCUUUAAUUGUUAAAACUGAAAGGCCUUGUAAAACAAUUUUUGCCCAAGGUCCCAAGUAAUUUAGAACUUACUCUGCGUAGCAUAAAGCUAGUAACGUUAUCAAUAAAUCAAAAUUGAGAUUGUAUAAGUCUUAUUGAUUUUGUUCAAUGCUCUGGGUGGCUGGGUUUCACAGUGUUGCUCAUAUCAAGCAUAUUUGCUACCUUGGCAAUAGCUCAAGUGGGCAAAAAGGAAAUUCAUCAGUACGCUAGCUACUAGUUUGCCUCCAAGUACCCCACUACUGUGAUCAAAUUAUGGGAGCAUUAACUGCUGGCUUCAUUGGACUCAUUAUCUAUUUGCUAUUGCUUCUCUAUUCAAUCUACACAAGAGUGCUUAAUCCCUUACUUGUUCAAAUGACUAGAUUCGUUGUCUCAUGUCCUUUUGGUCGCCUAGUUUGAGAAUUUGUUUCUUCUUUUUAUGAUGCUUCAUGUACGAUAAAAGUGUGUGAUUGGGAACUUGUAUUUUCAAGAGCAUUACAGAACAAAGGCAAACCAAGAAAAGAUAAAAACUAAUGACAUUGAUUAAAAUUCUGUGUGCUAAUUAAUCCUACAUGUUAUUCUUAGUGGUAACUACAUUCGGGUCUUGAACUUUGUAGGAGCUAACAUUAUGCAGUCUUUAUUUUGCAUCAUCAAAUGAUUAAUCUUAAUUGCUAUCUUUACUUUCAUUAUUUUCUUAUCAAAAUUUUUUUUUCUUCUCUUACUAAUUAGCUGCAUAAAAAUUAACAAACUAAUACAUUAUCAUUUUUAAGUCAUCAAUUAAGUAAGCAUUUUAGAUUAUUCAGCCAAAUAACAAAAAUAAAGAAAUAUCUAAAUUUCAUUUACAAAAACGUAUAUAAAUUAAAGCCAAACUAGCCAUCUCAAAUAAAUAAAAGAAUAUAUAUUUGCAUUUAAAAACAAUUGAUUUAAACCAUUUUGUGAUUUAAAAAAAAAUAGAAUGAAAUAAAACAAUUUAAAAUAGACGAAAGUAAAAAGCCAAUAUUUUUAUUUUCAAGUGACAAACUAAAAAUUCAAAUUACUGUGAGAGUGUGACUUGUGUUGUGCUGCCCAAUAAUUGUAACUAGCCAACAAAUUGUCGAUUUCCUUGUAUAAUUUUUUUUUUCCUUUUUGAAUGUGAUUUGCAAAUAGACCUUCACAGCAUCACCACAGCAUUCAUCUAAUUAAAGAAAGAUUUUUCUUUGUUUAGUAUAUGGGACAAAUAAGUGUCAAAAAGAAAAAGAAAAAAAUUUAUUAAUUGGGGGUAAACUUCAAUUCAUCCCCAUUUCAAUAAAAAUCUUCAAUUUACCCGCCAAAAGUUUGAAAAUCUUAAUUUACAUUAAUUUUGGUUUAGAAGAUGAACGUAAAUAGCGGGCACGUUGUUAGAGUGCAAUUUAUGCACUAGUUUUGCAUUGUUUACUUCUCUUAAUAUCGAUGUUUUGCACUUAAUAAUAUAAUUUACUUCUGUUUUACUUUUGUAGGUGCAAUUUUAUUAAUUGGCGAUAAAAUUGAGCUACAAGAUGAUGUUUAAGGAUGAUUGUUCUCUUGGAGAAAUUAUGAGCGUCAGAAGAACUUUGUUGAUAAGGCGUGGGCGCGUGCUGUCAACUACGGACUUGCAGUUUUUAGUUUAACGUGUUUUGUAUUUUUGGUUAUUUUUGUAAUUACGAAUUUAAUAUUUCAGAUAUUAGUAUUUUAUUUUAAAUAAAAUUCUAGAGGAGAAGAGAGAGAGAGUAUUUAAGGGAGGAAUCUAUUGUGAAAAAAGAGAUUUUGGAGAAAAGAAAGAAACCCUAGAUCUAAAUUUUUCUCUUCUCUCUAUGAAGAACUAAACCUAUUAUUCUGGUUGAAGGUUAAUGAAACUUUGAUUCAUCACUACUGUGAGAUCUUUCUUAUGCUUUAAUUGUUUUAUUACUUUUUGGGUAUUUAUUUAUUCUCUGAAUUAUUAUCAUGAUUAUGUUUGUUAAUUAGAUAAUUGGCCACUAUUUAAUUAUCAACUUAAUCUAUUGUCAAUUAAAGAAUUCAUCGUAUGAAGAUUUUAAUGUUUGUGACAAAUAACAUAGCAGAGAGUUGUGUUGUGAGAAUAAACAAUCUAAUUUAAAUGAACCAUCGUAUGUGUUUGUUGAUUAGAAUUUGGGUCUCUCUGGUUUUUCAGGUUGUCAAUUGAUUAAAUCCUAUUAUCGUAUCUAGGGUUGUCUAUUGAUUAGGGAAAUAACCAACGGUCGUACCUUAGUUAUCGACUAAUUAAGGAGAGAUUGACUAUUAGAGGGUCUCAGUAGCUAUAACCGGUCUAUUCAUAAAUAGUAAUAAUUUAUAUUUGAAUCAAUGAUCAGUAGUCGAAUCAAGCUGAGUUAAUUCCUUCAACCAAGGCUUUCUCUAAUUUGAAUUACAACUUUAAUUUGCAUUCUUGUUAUUUUAAUUUGAUUUUUAUUAUUGUCAACAAUUCCCUCAUUUUACGUUUUACAUUUUAAAAGGAUUUAAAUAAUUACCGAUCUUUGUGGACACGACCCUACUCAAUCACUAUACACAAUUUAUUUAGAGUAUGUAUUUAUUUUUGCUAGCUUCGACAACCAUCAAAUUUUGGCGCCGUUGCCGGGAUUGGUGUCAUUUAUUUAAUCCUUUUUACGUUUACUUGGUGUAUGGUUCGUUCUUCUCGUACAGGUACACUUUCGUUUGAUCCUGAAAUUGAGUAGAAAGCUCGCUAGCUGAGACAGCAAUCGAAGCAAGCUAAGCAACGAUCCUCGUCGCCUUUGCUUUCUUAAACAGAUACAGUGCCUGAUUUGGUUGAAUCAUCUAGCGAUUCAGAAGAACAAAUGAUGGAUAGAGCUGCACCUGUAGAAAGAACUCUUAGAGAGUUAGCUGAACUAGACUUGAAUCAGCAACCACUCUGCAUUCAAUAUGUAGACUUGGAGGUAAAUUUUGAAUUAAAGUAUGGUCUUAUUAAUUUAUUACCCAAGUUUCAUGGUUUUGCAGGUGAAGAUCCUCAUAAACAUCUCAAGGAGUUUCAUGUUGUAUGUUCAAGUAUGAGACCACAAGGCGUGACUGAAGAGCAGAUUAAGCUGCGUGGUUUUCCUUUCUCUUUAGAUGGAAUAGCUAAAGACUGGUUGUACUACUUGCCUCCUGGAUCGAUUACAACGUGGAAUGGUUUGAAGAAGCAGUUCCUUGAGAAGUACUUUCCUGCUUCAAGAGCUGUCAACAUCAGAAAAGAUAUUUGUGGGAUUAGACAACUUCUUGGGGAGACUUUGUAUGAGUAUUGGGAGCGAUUCAAACAAUUGUGUGCCAGCUGUCCUCAGCAUCAGAUUUCUGAUCAACUUCUUAUUCAAUAUUUUUACGAAGGAAUAUCAUUAAUGGAUAGGAGUAUGAUAGAUGCUUCUAGUGGAGGUGUGUUGGUGAACAGGACUCCUACUCAAGCAAUUGAGUUGAUCUCAAGUAUGGCUGCCAAUGCACAACAAUUUGGCAGCAGGCAAGAUGCCACUUCAAGAACGGUGAAUGAGGUAAAUAUUUCUUCUGUUGAACAACGUUUAGAUAAACUUACUUCUCUUGUGGAAAAGUUUGUUGUAGGUAAUGUGCAACAGGUAAAGACUUGUGGCAUUUGUUCCAAUAUGGGUCAUUCAACUGAUAUGUGUCCUACACUUCAAGAAGAACUCGUUGAACAAGCCAAUGCAGUUGGAGGAUUUCCAGGCAUGCCUUAGAGGAGGUAUGAUCCUUAUGCACAAACAUACAAUCCGGGAUGGAAGGAUCAUCCCAACUUCAGCUAUGGAGUUAGGCCGUCAGGAUUCCCACAACAGUAUCCACCAAGACAACCAGUACCUCCACAGUCAAACUCCAAGUCAGGUAUAUCUCUUGAAGAAAUUGUUAAAUCACUUGCGACUAACACUCAACAAUUUCAGCAGGCAACUACAACAAGCAUUCAGAAUUUAGAGAACUAAAUGAGUCAAUUGGCGACUACAGUGAGCCGUCUGGAGUCUCAAGUAUUAGGGAGGUUGCCUUUACAAUCUGAGGUGAAUCCAAAGCAAAACGUUAGUGCUGUCAUCCUUAGAAGUGGGAAGGAGUUGCAAGAGCCUAGUAAGAAAGUGACAAAGCAUGUAGAAGAUGAGCUUGAGAAGAAUGAAUUGAUGCCAAAAUCUCAAGAUGCGCAACCCACCAGAGCAAAACCCCUACCUAUUGUGAUACCUCCUCCUUUUCCAAGCCAGUUUGCAAAAUCUAAGAAGGAGGAACAAGAUAAAGAUAUCCUUGAGAAAUUUCGUAAGGUUGAGGUAGAUAUUCGUUUAUUAGAUGCUAUAAAACAAAUACCUCGAUAUGCUAAAGUCCUUAAGGAACUGUGCACCUCCAAGAGAAAAUUAAGAGGAGAUGAAAAAGUUCACAUGGGGGAGAAUGUUUAAGCAGUUCUCCAAAAGAAACUACCUCCUAAGUGUAAGGAUCCAGGUAUGUUUACUAUCCCUUGUAAAAUUGGUAGUGUUAGAGUUGAAAAGGCUAUGUUAGAUCUAGGAGCUUCUAUUAAUGUCAUGCCUCGUUCCAUUUAUUCAUCUUUGAAUGUUGGUCCAUUAAAAGAAACUGGCUUAAUAAUUCAACUAGCUGAUAGGUCUAAUGCAUAUCCUGAUGAGGUAUUAGAAGAUGUCUUAGUACAAGUUAAUGAGUUAGUUUUUCCUGCUUAUUUUUAUGUACUUGAUAUGGAAGAUGAUAACUCCUCUAAUUCUGUCCCAAUUUUGCUAGGAAGACAUUUUCUUAAGACUGCUAGGACUAAAAUGGAUGUACAUAAAAGGACUCUCAUUAUGGAGUUUGAUGGAGAAGUUAUAGAAUUCAAUAUGAAUGAUGCCAUGAAAUAUCCUAAUGAGGAACAUUCAGUAUUUUCUGUGGAUGUUAUUAUCCCUAUAGUGCAGGAAGUUUUUUACAAGGAAAAGACGAAGACAUUUCAUGACAUAAUGAUUUUGAGAAAGGAGUUCUCUAUUGGUCAAAAAGUUCUUCUUUUUCAUUCUAAGCUUAAACUUUUUCCGGGUAAAUUACGUUCUUACUGGGUUGGACCUUUUAUUGUUACUAAUGUUUUUCCUCAUGGUGCAGUUGAGAUUCGGAGUCCGACCUCUGACAAAGUUUUGAAGGUUAAUGGUUAUCGCUUAAAACCUUUUUAUGAAGGUUUUUCGGUGAAUAUUGUGGAGAAUGUGGCUCUCGAGAGUCCCAAUUAUGGAGAUUGAUGCAUAAAUGUGUCUAGCCAAAGACAUAAAACAAAUGCGCUUUUUUGGGAGGCAACCCAAAUGAUUUAUUUAUUUUGGUUUUUGUUAUAUCUUCUUUUAAUUUUGAUUCAGAUUUUUUAAAAAAAUAAUGUGUUUGCUUAUUUUGGCCAGAAGAAAACUUUCGAUAAGGCGUGCCCACGUCUUAACUAAUAAGUACUUCUGUGAUUUUUAAAGUAAAAUGGUUUUAAGGCGUGCCCAAGUGCUUAUUAAAAAAGUACUUCUGAAAUUUUUAGUGUCUCAAAGUGAUUCAUCACAAAAAAAAAAGAAAAUUUAAUUUUAUCUAUUUAUUUAUUUGAAAAAAAUGAAAUUAAAAAAAAAAGAUUUUCUUUUCUUCUUUCUUUUAUAUAUUUAUUUAUUUAUUUAUUUAAAAAAUGAAAAAAAAAAUCAAAAAUCACUGUUCACAAAAUCCCUAAUUCAAAACAAAUCAUUUUCUUUCCCGCAGCAACCAGCCGCUCUAGCCUUCACCACGCAACACAGCCAUACAGCAGCAGUAACAGUGCGCGAGCAACAGCAACUGUGAGCACAACACAGCCCACGCAGCAUCAGCAGCAGCUGUGCACGCAACCAGCUCUAUCCUGCACGCGCGCAGAUCCAGCCUUCACCGAGCAGCCACGCAGCACCAGCACCCCGCAUCCAGCGAGCAGCAGCUCGAGCACGCAGAUCCAGCCUUCACCCAGCAGCUCACAGAACCAGUGUUAGCCCAGCUCUCGCGCGCAACACAGCCCACGUAGCGCGCAGAUGCAGUAGCCCCAGCACGCAGAAUCAGCCCUAGCCCGCGCGCGCAACACAAUCAGCUCCAUCCAGCAUCCAUCAAGCAAGCUCCAACCGAACAUCAAUCAUCCGCAACCAGCCUACGCCCUGUAUUCCAGCCGCGUGAAUCAAAAUCCGUGAGUGCAAUUAUUGUAACAAUGCCGAAGAGGAAAGCAUCAACUUCCAAGUCAUCUAAAAAGACACCCGUCGCAAAGAAAUCCAAGAUUGCCGCUCCCACUACGGUUCGAUGGAACAAAGUUUCAGAUUCACGGCAAGCCGUGAGACAAAGAUCGAAACAUGGAAAAGGCAUGAGUGUUUUGCCACUUGCGGAAUCCAAUCUCGGAGGGUGCCUCGCAUUCGCGACUCAACAAGAGAAAGAAAAGUACAAAGAUAUUUCCAAGCGAAAAAUACUUCCAGUUAAGUAUAUUCAUUACCCGACUCUUGAAAAUUUGAAUGUUAAGGAUAAUUUUGAUUCUUUGAUAUAUAAGAUUGGUUUGCGUAAGUUUGUUGAUGUUGAUUGUUUGGGUUAUGUUGAGUUGAUUAGGGAGUUUUAUGCUACUUUUCAAUUUAUAUAUUGAAUGAUUUUACUUUGCAUACCUCGGAUGUUAUAAAGUUUAGGUUAAUGGGACGAAAAUUUUCACACUCUAUCACGGAUUUUAACCUAGCUUUAGGAUUCAUUGAUGAUGAUUAUUCUUCUAGUGAUGCAUAUUUAGGAACAACUUGUGACUUUAGCGAAAAUUUUGAGCCUUAUGGUCUUUGGCGUAAUUUAUCUGUUGAUCACAAUGCCUAUGACCCGAGUAAACUUACGUAAUCCUGUUUUGAAAUGUGUGCAUCGAUUCUUAGCAUAUAAUUUUUUAGGAAAGAAAGAUCACUCAGGAGUUUUCUCUAAAACUAAAUUUUAUUUUAUCUGGUGCAUGUUAAAUGACGUGAGGUCUAAUUUAGGUUUUUGGUUAGCAGAUCAAUUUCAAAGUGUGCUUAAACGGUAUAGGACUUUAUUUCUUAGUCCAUACAUUACUCUGUUAGCUAUAAACCUAUGUGUGCUUGAUCCUGACAAUAAUGAUUUGCAUCCUGCUUGGAAAAAGGAAUUUUUGGAUAUGUCUGUGUUUGAAAGAACAGGUGUGGUCGAAUUCAAGGAGGGGAGAUUUCAGUUUACUGAACCAGGACCCACUCAACCUCCAAAGAAGCUCUAUGCUAGGAGUGGUGCUACCUCUGAUGACGAGUUUGACGACGACACUGCUGCCCCGCCGACUAUUCCUUCUACAUCCGCAUCACCUCAGUUAGAGAAAAUGGAGCACAAGCUAAACAAGAUGGAGCAGAAUUUGGUUGCAUACUUCGAGAGUGUGGGAUUUAUCCCACCAUUUCCGCCAAGCCCAUAGACGUUAUGAGGAUCAAAACUCACAAUUCAGGGAAGUUUUUUGCCUUUAAUCUUUUAUCCUUACGCUUUAAUUUUUAUGUGAGCUUUGAUUAUCUUACAUUGGGGACAAUGUAAGUUCUUGGUGUGGGGGAGGGAGUUUUGCAUUAUUGAUGUCUGGAAGUAUUAUUUUCACUCUACUCAUCUAUUUUCACUAUACUCAUCCUUAAAUGAUUUUGAAGUUAGUAUACUUCAUAUAUUAUUAUUUUUCUUUUCUUUUCUUUCUCACUACUCUUUUCCCAUCUAUCUCAAAUUAUUUACAUCUAUUUUUAUUCUAUCAUACUCUUUCAUCACUCACAUUUUAUCUUUUACUUUUCAUAUUACUAUAUACAUCUUUCUCAAUUCUUAUCAUUUUUACCUUUCCUUUUAUAUAUCACUCAUACAUUCUUCUCAUUCUACACCACUAUUGAUGGUUGAUUCAUUUGAAGAGUAUACAUGAUUUGAUGGCAAAUUUAGCAACUUUGUGAGGAUUUGAGCCUAUGAGCAACCACUUUGCUCUAAUAUUUUUGUUAUGUGAAUAUCAAUCUUAGUUUGUUUAUUCUAGAACUUGCUUUAUUAUGCAUGUUGAAGCCACAUUACGGGAUUUUAUACAUUAAAAUGAUAAGGGCAAACCAUUUUCUAUUUUUCUAUUCUCACAUUUUUCUUUUUUUUUUUCUCUACCCGAAGACCUUUAUUUGCUAUCUUUGUUUGAGCCUUAACCAUUACCCAUCUAAUUCUCUCCGCCUACUUAACCAUUUUUCUUCUUUUUGAGCCUCAAUUUAAGGAGAUUUUUGGACUCAUUGUGUGGAUAUAUUUUGUAUAUAUUUUGUUGCUUUUUCUACCUUGUAUUAAAGUUUCUCAAUUAGAUCAACAAGUAUUAUGCUUGAAUUAAAUUCUGCAAGGUUCAUUUCUUUUGUUUGAUUCAAAAAAAAAAAAAAAAAGAAAAAGGAAAAAAAAAGAAAAAGAAAAAUCGAAAAAAAAGAAGAAAAAAAAUGUUUACAUUCUUGGUGACUUGAGUAGAAAUAAGCGUUUCGAUAUCAUAAGGUUCAUUCAAUGAGUUCAUUCUUCUCAUUUUGAUCUUUUUUUUUUCUUUCAUAAACCUUUCUUUUUCAUUUAACCCAUUUAACCCCGUUACAACCUUUUUAAGACCCUUAGAUUUUUGCAUUUAAUUCAUGUUUUGUGGAUUGAGAUGUGAUAUAUAAGCAAGCUUAUGGUAAUAGCAUUCUUUGAUUUGAUUUGAGUGCAUAAAUGACACCCUAAACACUUUGAGUGUUGGAGUGAAGUCAAUGAGAGGGCUAUUAAAUCUUGUUGCACUUGAAUUUUGAAUGGAUCUUCUUAGUGGUUGAAUGUUUUUAUUCUAGCUUAUGAGAUUCUAUGCUUUAAAAUCCUUAUCUCUCGAAUGUUGAUCGACUUAAAUUCUUGAGGUAUGCUUGCUUAAAAUUGUUUUUGGAUGAGUUGAGAUGAGAAUUGAGUGGAGAUUUGGGAUUCGUCUUGAGUUAUAUGCUUGAGGACAAGCAUCAUCUUGGUGUGGGGGAAUUUGUUAGAGUGCAAUUUAUGCACUAGUUUUGCAUUGUUUACUUCCCUUAAUAUCGAUGUUUUGCACUUAAUAAUAGUAAUUUACUUGUGUUUUACUUUUGUAGGUGCAAUUCUAUUGAUUGGUGAUAAAAUUGAGCUAUAAGAUGAUGUUUAAGGAUGAUUGUUCUCUUGGAAAAAUUAUGAGCGUCAGAAGAACUUUGUUGAUAAGGCGUGGGCGCGUGCUGUCAACUACGGACCUGCAGUUUUUAGUUUAACGUGUUUUGUAUUUUUGGUUAUUUUUGUAAUUACGAAUUUAAUAUUUCAGAUAUUAGUAUUUUAUUUUAAAUAGAAUUCUAGAGGAGAAGAGAGAGAGAGUAUUUAAGGGAGGAAUCUAUUGUGAAAAAAGAGAUUUUGGAGAAAAGAAAGAAACCCUAGAUCUAAAUUUUUCUCUUCUCUCUAUGAAGAACUAAACCUAUUAUUAUGGUUGAAGGUUAAUGAAGCUUUGAUUCAUCACUACUGUGAGAUCUUUCUUAUGCUUGAAUUGUUUUAUUACUUUUUGGGUAUUUGUUUAUUCUCUGAAUUAUUAUCAUGAUUAUGUUUGUUAAUUAGAUAAUUGGCCACUAUUUAAUUAUCAACUUAAUCUAUUGUCAAUUAAAGGAUUCAUCGUAUGAAGAUUUUAAUGUUUGUGACAAAUAACAUAGCAGAGAGUUGUGUUGUGAGAAUAAACAAUCUAAUUUAAAUGAACCAUCGUAUGUGUUUGUUGAUUAGGAUUUGCGUCUCUCUGGUUUUUCAGGCUAUCAAUUGAUUAAAUCCUAUGAUCGUAUCUAGGGUUGUCUAUUGAUUAGGGAAAUAAGCAACAGUCGUACCUUGGUUAUCGACUAGUUAAGGAGAGAUUGGCUAUUAGAGGGUCUCAGUAGCUAUAACCGGUCUAUUCAUAAGUAGUAAUAAUUUAUAUUUGAAUCAAUGAUCAGUAGUCGAAUCAAGCUGAGUUAAUUCCUUCAACCAGGGCUUUCUCCAAUUUGAAUUACAACUUUAAUUUGCAUUAUUGUUAUUUCAGAAAGUCAUGAGCCUCUAUUUAUAUGAAUGAAUAAUGAGAAUCUCGCUACAAUGACUUUAAUGGAAUUGAAAGAUUCCAUAAAUAAGGAAAAUAAAACAUGCUGCGUUUGUUUCCAUUAACUGUUGAUUUUAAUAUCGUGUCGCAUUAUGAAGGCAAUUUCAGUAUACAUUUAAUUAAUGUUAUCGUUUUUAGUGUGAUUAUUUUGUUUAGUUUAUUAUUAGAUUUUUUUCUCUUUAUAUCAAUUGUGAAGCUAUUUUCUAAUAUAAAGACCCUCUACAAGUCUACAUUGCCCUUCAUUUGGUUUCAUUGGGUGAUUCGUGCAUAAGAUUAUCUCAUUAAAUUGCAAGGAAAUUAUUAAAGAAAACAAAAAUCAAUUAUUUACACUUGGUCAAGUUGGCUUGUAUGAAUGAGGAGGUUGAGAUAAUGGUAGAUCAGCCCUCAUGACCCAUUAGUAAGAUUGCCCUUCAUUUGGUUUCAUUGGGUGAUUCGUGCAUAAGAUUAUCUCAUUAAAUUGCAAGGAAAUUAUUAAAGAAAACAAAAAUCAAUUAUUUACACUUGGUCAAGUUGGCUUGUAUGAAUGAGGAGGUUGAGAUAAUGAUAGAUCAGCCCUCAUGAUCCAUUAGUAAGAUUCAUUCAACAACUCUAAAUAGAUCAGCAAUGCUCCUUACCAUUUAUAGGAUUUGAUUUUAUCAUUCCAUUAGAUUGAUUCAAUUUUUUUCCCUAUUGUAUCAAAUGACUGAUAGAGCCGACCAAAAAACAAAAUAGGCUUGCACAUAUUGGGCAAUCAAAAGCCUAUACAUAUAGCUAAAAAAAUUGAAAACUUGUAGUGAAUGGUGGUGGCGAUAGUUGAGCAUUUCAACUAACAAAUUAUCGCAACAUACGUAUUCAUCUGCCUUCAUAACUCUAUGUACUCCUGUGUUUUCCAUUAGCUAAAUGUUUAUAUUCAAAUUAACCUUAAACGUUUUCCUUUAGUUUAUAUAACCCUCAUUUGCCAACUCAUCAAGUUUGUCACCAUAAGUAAUUGUGCUAUCAAAUGCUCAUCACGAGGCUAUACACUUUUCUACUGAAGCUAAUGGCCUUUGGGGCAACACCUUCUCUGCUACAAUUGUCGUGGCUACAAGCCAUGAGGCAGCUACCUUCGUUGCAAUGUCAUCAUUUUAAGCUAAGUACAAUGCCAUGGUGCCAUUUAAGUGAGUUAUAUAAUUAAAUUCAAUGUCAUGCAUGCUUUAUAAAUUAGGAUCAGGUUUUUAACUUGCGUUUUUUAAUAGCAAAUGAAGUUGUAAGCAUCUACGGCUUUAUGGUUCUGUUUAUUCAUUUCAGAUAGUAUAAUUUGGCAAUUAGUUAAUCCUUUGUAUGUGGUAAGAGCCUAUUGCCCAUUUUACAGGGGUGGCUUUAAACAUAGGUGAACCAGGUUGCUGUCUAGGGCCCCAUAUGUUAGAAUAGCCCAAUUGUGGUUGUCUCGUCUCCAUAUGUUAAGAAGAAUUUUUUUUUUGUAUUUUCUUGAUAUGGUCAAAUUAAUAGAUAUCUUAGAUUAUACUUACAAUAGGAAAUCUUAUUUUUUAGGCCACUUUUUAAUUAAUAAUUAUCCUAUUAUUAAGAAUUUUUACACAAAUUCAAUAUUUGAUAGCAUUAUUGCUAAAGAGCUAUAGUUAAUAAUGUUUUUCGUUAUUAGUUAUUUCAAGAAAAACGAUAACAUUUUUGUGAGUUUAAAAAAUUUUAUUAUUUGACAUAUAAAAUUCCUUGUGCCUUUCUUUAUAAGGAAAAUUAUUAUGUUUAUUUGCUCAUUUUUUAAGUAAAAGAAAAUAUUUUCUUCAAAUAAUAAUUUUGAAACAAGUAAAAACAAAAAUAUUUUCUUGACUAUUUUUUUUUUGAAAUUUCUUACUGCCUUGUUGAUUAUUAGUACUCAAGUUGUCAAAAAUUGAUUGCAUUUUAAGAUAUUUUAUGUUUCUUUAAUUGUUAAAACUGAAAGGCCUUGUAAAAAAUUUUUUGCCCAAGGCCCCAAGUAAUUUAGAACCUACUCUGCGUAGCAUAAAGCUAGUAACGUUAUUAAUAAAUCAAAAUUGAGAUUGUAUAAGUCUUAUUGAUUUUGUUGAAUGCUCUGGGUGGCUCGGUUUUCACAGUGUUGCUCACAUCGAGCAUAUUUGCUACAUUGGCAAUAGCUCAAGUGGGCAAAAAGGAAAUUCAUCAGUAUGCUAGCUACUAGUUUGCCUCCAAGUCCCCCACUGCUGUGAUCAAAUUAUGGGAGCAUUAACUGCUGGCUUCAUUGGACUCAUUAUCUAUUUGCUAUUGCUUCUCUAUUCAAUCUACACAAGAGUGCUUAAUCCCUUACUUGUUCAAAUGACUAGAUUCAUUGUCUCAUGUUCUUUUGGUCGCCUAGUUUGAGAAUUUGUUUCUUCUUUUUAUGAUGCUUUCUAUACGAUAAAAGUGUGUGAUUGGGAACUUGUAUUUUCAAGAGCAUUAUAGAACAAAGACAAACCAAGAAAAGAUAAAAACUAAUGACAUUGAUUAAAAUUCAGUGUGCUAAUUAAUCCUACAUGUUAUUCUUAGUGGUAACUACAUUCGAGUCUUGAACUUUGUAGGAGCUAACAUCAUGCAGUCUUUACUUUGCAUCAUCAAAUGAUUAAUCUUAAUUGAUAUCUUUAAUUUCAUUAUUUUCUUAUCAAAUUUUUUUUUCUUAUCUUACUAAUUAGCUGCAUAAAAAUUAACAAACUAAUACAUUAUCAUUUUUAAGUCAUCAAUUAAGUAAGAAUUUUAGAUUAUUCAGCCAAAUAACAAAAAUAAAGAAAUAUCUAAAUUUCAGUUACAAAAACGUAUAUUAAAUUAAAGCCAAACUAGCCAUCUCAAAUAAAUAAAAGAAUAUAUAUUUGCAUUUAAAAAAAAAUUGAUUUAAACCAUUUUUUGAUUUAAAAAAAAAUUGAAAUGAAAUAAAACAAUUUAAAAUAGAAGAAAGUAAAAAGCCAAUAUUUUUAUUUUCAUGUGACAAACUAAAAAUUAUAAUUACUGUGACAGUGUGACUUGUGUUGUGCUGCCCAAUAAUUAUAACUAGCCAACAAAUUGUCGAUUUCCUUGUAUAAUUUUUUUUUUCCUUUUUGAAUUUGAUUUGCAAAUAGACCUUCACAGCAUCACCACAAUAUUCAUCUAAUUAAAGAAAUAUUUUUGUUUGUUUAGUAUAUGGGACAAAUAAGUGUCAAAAAGAAAAAGAAAAAAAAAUUUAUUAAUUGGGGGUAAACUUCAAUUCAUCCCCAUCUCAAUAAAAAUCUUCAAUUUACCCUCCAAAAGUUUGAAAAUCUUAAUUUACAUUAGUUUUGGUUUAGAAGAUGAACGUAAAUAGCGGGCACGUUCAUAAAUUUUCUAUUCAUUUUCUUACCAGUAAAUGAGGGUACGUUGAUGUUUUCACAUUUUUUAGGGGUAAAUUAAAGAUUCACGGGGCGUAAAUUGAAGUUUACCCUACAAAUAAAUUCAAACGGUUUUGUAAUAUAAGAUUUCGAUAAAACAUAAAAGUUCAAUUUUUAUUUUGGUUCGGAUGCAAUUAGCCUCACCCUAAAAGAAAAUUGACUUAAAAUUCAAAUAUCACAAAUGUACUAAGAUAGUAAUAAUGAUCGCUUGAUCAUUAUUAGUAUUUCAAUAGAUUGCCUUCUCGUAGAUUGAUUCAACGAUAUGUAUACAACAAAACAAAGCCAAUUCACACACCAAAAACACAUGACAUAACAUUACGUACUCAUAAUGAAUUAAUUUCUUAUUUUAUUAAAACACAUUUUCAAUUUCACUGCAAUUGAUUAUUGUUGCAAAAACACUCAUAAAAGAUAAACGAAAUAACUGAUUAUCAAAAUCAUUUGCAUCCCCCCGGGGGACAGUAGUAGAUAUAGUUUGCAAGAGCUUUCUUUAACUUCUCGAUCAAACACUCUUCCCUUGUAAGCCCUGAGCAAUCAACAAUUUCAGGUGAUGCUGCGGGAUUAUUAGAAAAUGAAGCAUCUGGGUGAUAUCCUUGGCUAAAACGACUGGCUGUAAUAAGUGUGCUUUUAGUGUUUGCCACUACAAGCAAAGCCAAGAUGAUGAAACUAAGACUCUUCGACAUUUUCUAUUUUUUAAGUGAAUUGUAUGCAACUUAAUAAGAAUUAAAGGAGAUGUGUGAAAUUCAGAAAGUCAUGAGCCUCUAUUUAUAUGAAUGAAUAUUG
RNAcentral lists this long non-coding RNA (40404 nucleotides) under Citrus maxima (pomelo). RNAcentral describes it as "long non-coding RNA (CMAX_LNC000758)". The stretch from base 11816 to 11919 matches the Rfam family "Plant small nucleolar RNA R71". The record is from RNAcentral. Lineage: Eukaryota; Viridiplantae; Streptophyta; Magnoliopsida; Sapindales; Rutaceae.